CCACUCACUAGUAGAUUUGAAUGAAUCAUCUGAUUUCUCAGAAUUUUGGGCUUAGCUUGACUUCAAUUUUUCGUUCAAUUUCUUUGAAAGAGAACCAGUUGCCACCAUUUUUUGAGGAAGCAUUUUUACUCGACUUCUCCUAGGUCGAGUGGUUGUGCUGGGUGGAGGUGGCGUGAAGGAGCCAGAACGGGAGGGUGGUGGAGGAGUGCUUGUAUUAUCUUAAGGGUUCGGCAUUGUAACUAACUUCUUGAGAGAAUUUGUGAGUUAGGCUUUUGGAAGAAAGAACAAUUGAGAGUGAAAUAG
This 303-nucleotide long non-coding RNA is filed under the name Nicotiana benthamiana. RNAcentral describes it as "long non-coding RNA (NBEN_LNC017774)". Lineage: Eukaryota; Viridiplantae; Streptophyta; Magnoliopsida; Solanales; Solanaceae. The record is from RNAcentral.